UCCCUGGUAGCCUAGUGGUUUAAGGAUCUGGCAUUGUCACUGCUGUGGCACAGGUUCGAUCCCUGGCCAAGGAA
RNAcentral lists this transfer RNA (74 nucleotides) under Sus scrofa (pig). It matches the Rfam family "tRNA". From Rfam's summary of the family: Transfer RNA (tRNA) molecules are approximately 80 nucleotides in length. Their secondary structure includes four short double-helical elements and three loops (D, anti-codon, and T loops). The record is from Rfam by way of RNAcentral. Lineage: Eukaryota; Metazoa; Chordata; Mammalia; Artiodactyla; Suidae.